This 445-nucleotide ribosomal RNA is filed under the name uncultured bacterium. RNAcentral describes it as "partial 16S ribosomal RNA". It matches the Rfam family "Bacterial small subunit ribosomal RNA", at positions 354 to 796 of the family's 1533-position model. The record is from RNAcentral.
GUGAGGAAUAUUGGACAAUGGGCGCAAGCCUGAUCCAGCCAUGCCGCGUGCAGGAAGACGCAUCUAUGGUGUGUAAACUGCUUUUGUACGGGAAGAAACACUCCCUCGUGAGGGAGCUUGACGGUACCGUAAGAAUAAGGAUCGGCUAACUCCGUGCCAGCAGCCGCGGUAAUACGGAGGAUCCAAGCGUUAUCCGGAAUCAUUGGGUUUAAAGGGUCCGUAGGCGGUUUAAUAAGUCAGUGGUGAAAGCCCAUCGCUCAACGAUGGAACGGCCAUUGAUACUGUUAGACUUGAAUUACAAGGAAGUAACUAGAAUAUGUAGUGUAGCGGUGAAAUGCUUAGAUAUUACAUGCAAUACCAAUUACGAAGGCAGGUUACUACUUGUGGAUUGACGCUGAUGGACGAAAGCGUGGGGAGCGAACAGGAUUAGAAACCCUAGUAGUCC